AUUAAAAUAGUUUAAAUAAAACAAUAAUUUUGGAGAUUAUUAAUAUAAUAACUUUAAUUAUUUUUAAUA
Molecule: transfer RNA, 69 nt
Filed under: Tremex columba (pigeon tremex)
Lineage: Eukaryota; Metazoa; Arthropoda; Insecta; Hymenoptera; Siricidae
Description: tRNA-Pro
Source: RNAcentral